UACGGGAGGCAGCGAGGGGGAAUAUUGCACAAUGGGCGCAAGCCUGAUGCAGCCAUGCCGCGUGUAUGAAGAAGGCCUUCGGGUUGUAAAGUACUUUCAGUCGUGAGGAAGGUGUUAAGGUUAAUAACCUUAGCAAUUGACGUUAGCGACAGAAGAAGCACCGGCUAACUCCGUGCCAGCAGCCGCGGUAAUACGGAGGGUGCGAGCGUUAAUCGGAAUUACUGGGCGUAAAGGGCACGCAGGCGGUUAAUUAAGUUGGAUGUGAAAUCCCCGGGCUUAACCUGGGAAUGGCAUUCAAGACUGGUUAGCUAGAGUCUUGUAGAGGGGGUAGAAUUCCAUGUGUAGCGGUGAAAUGCGUAGAGAUGUGGAGGAAUACCGGUGGCGAAGGCGGCCCCCUGGACAAAGACUGACGCUCAUGUGCGAAAGCUGGGGAGCAAAC
RNAcentral lists this ribosomal RNA (439 nucleotides) under uncultured bacterium. RNAcentral's name for it is "bacterial SSU rRNA". It matches the Rfam family "Bacterial small subunit ribosomal RNA", at positions 340 to 773 of the family's 1533-position model. The record is from RNAcentral.